CAAGAAAGUUGUAGAACUGAAAGAUCAAAAAAGCACACGAGAGCAUGGAAGAAAAACGAACCAGGAGAGAUGAAAAGAAGAGGCAGGAGAGUGGGUUAAUAAAAUACCUUUAAGACAGAGAAAAAGAAAGCUUCCGUCUCUCUUAUUUGUCCAGGCUGUAUGCAGCCUAUAGUUCCAAAAUGGGGUGCAGAUACCAACACUGUUCCUCCUCAGAGAGGAAGGCAGGAGGAGUCUGAGACGGAAGGAGGAAUAAAACACCAGCAGGCUGCUGUUUCACAGGCUGGAAUGUGUUCUGCCUGUAUUAUAUAUCACUGCUCCUAGCCCCGACAGGAUGAAGAUGAGAGACAAGCCAUGGGAAAGGAGGCUUCUCCCACUGAACUGGAGAGUGGAACAGAGGAUUGACAGUGCUGUGAAGAUCUGACUCCUGGCUAUGAAAGAAAGUUGCUCACUUCUAUGAUGACAACUGCACCAUUUCCAGAGGUCAGUUUGAGAAGACUUUAGAUGCAAGCACACUAAUUUUGUAACUGUAUUAAUAAAUUAGAGUGGUGGCCUUGUCA
Molecule: long non-coding RNA, 557 nt
Organism: Corvus hawaiiensis (hawaiian crow)
Lineage: Eukaryota; Metazoa; Chordata; Aves; Passeriformes; Corvidae
Exons: 2
Source: RefSeq, a predicted model, not a curated record